GGAGAAUCGCCGCUUGCGCCGCGAGAACCGCUGCCUCUUCCGACAGGCCCUACUGGGGCCCGGCCCCGACAAGCCCCCCGCCGACCCGGGCGAGGAGGCGGAGGCCCUGCGCACCCAGCUGGGGCGGCUGCAGGAGAAGCACCGCCGGGCCUUGCGGCAUCUGCGGCGCUGCCGGGCCGCCGGCGGGCCCGAGGCCUCGAGAGCCGAAGAAGGAGAGCUGGAAGAGCUGCUGCUGGAGGAGGACGAGCAGCCGCUGGAUAAGAAGAGCCUGGUGCCGGCCGUGUAGGCGGCCCCGGUGGAGGGGGCGGUGCCUGCUGGUGCUUCGGGCCUUCCCCUCCGCUGCGGGCUAGGGGUGGGUUACGCCCUCUUUGCUCCCGGCUGUGACCCUGUACGGCGCGGGGACUGCCUCAGCUCCCUCAAACGAAACGGACCCUUUCCACCAAAAGCGUGGAGUUGUUCCGGUUUGUUAAUCCUUUUCCCAGAUGUAUACUCAGUUGAUGUGGGAAGCUGGGGCGUAGAGCACAAGAGGAAUCUCUCAGAGCGGAUGUUUGGGAGAAAAGAACCGCGCUUAACAAAACACUUGGUCUCAUGGCAUCCCACAGCGCUGAACUGUGCCUCCUCUAGAGCUGCCCUGGCGCCAUUUUCCAGGAAACAGCAGCCGGCAGAACAGUGAAACCAAACCUAGCACAGAAGGAUUUCUAACAAGGAAAAGACACAGCCUGUCUUGACAGGAGAAAUGCUUCUACUGCCUGAUCAUCUUCAUGGCCCUCCCCUGGACUCAUUCCAACAAGUCCACAUCUGUCAUAUGCUGGAUGCAGCAUUCCAGGUUAUAAUAUUGGGGAGUAUUCCAUUACCACCUCGAGCUGCAAUCCCUUUCUUUCCUUAUGUCAUGACUCAGAAAUAAGUCCCUCCAGGAGGACCUGUUCUUUUAGCCACAUGACUGAUAAGAUCACAGCAUUCUAUUGUGAGAUACUCCGCCCAGAGGGAGGAACCAAACAAUGCCAUCAGGGAUAUAAGUGAGGUUGUGCAGACAGCAAGUAGAUCCCGUUUUCCAAGAGGAACAGCUGAGACCUUCUCUACACUGGACCUCCAAAGGGAAACUACAUCAGUCUACAGGACCACUGCUUAGACAGAACCAUAUCUGCUACAACUGCCCUAGCCAGCAAGUGUCAGGUUGUAUCUCUUACUCUAUCAGUAGUCCUUCUUUUGUGCUAUUGUAUCUAUUUGGUUCUUUGUUCCCUUUUUCCUAAUAAAUUGUACUUCU
Molecule: long non-coding RNA, 1264 nt
Filed under: Taeniopygia guttata (zebra finch)
Lineage: Eukaryota; Metazoa; Chordata; Aves; Passeriformes; Estrildidae
Description: lncRNA (ENSTGUG00000027360.1)
Source: RNAcentral